UGGGGAAUAUUGGGCAAUGGGGGAAACCCUGACCCAGCAACGCCGCGUGAAGGAAGAAGGCUUUCGGGUUGUAAACUUCUUUUACCAGGGACGAAGAAAGUGACGGUACCUGGAGAAAAAGCCACGGCUAACUACGUGCCAGCAGCCGCGGUAAUACGUAGGUGGCAAGCGUUGUCCGGAUUUACUGGGUGUAAAGGGCGUGUAGGCGGAGAUGCAAGUCAGAUGUGAAAUCCUCGGGCUUAACCCGGGAACUGCAUUUGAAACUGUAUCCCUUGAGUAUCGGAGAGGCAGGCGGAAUUCCUAGUGUAGCGGUGAAAUGCGUAGAUAUUAGGAGGAACACCAGUGGCGAAGGCGGCCUGCUGGACGACAACUGACGCUGAGGCGCGAAAGCGUGGGGAGCAAACA
RNAcentral lists this ribosomal RNA (405 nucleotides) under uncultured prokaryote. RNAcentral's name for it is "bacterial SSU rRNA". It matches the Rfam family "Bacterial small subunit ribosomal RNA", at positions 355 to 774 of the family's 1533-position model. The record is from RNAcentral.